Molecule: ribosomal RNA, 483 nt
Filed under: uncultured bacterium
Lineage: Bacteria
Description: partial 16S ribosomal RNA
Rfam family: Bacterial small subunit ribosomal RNA
Source: RNAcentral
UUGAACGCUGGCGGCAGGCCUAACACAUGCAAGUCGAGCGGAUGAAGGGAGCUUGCUCCUGGAUUCAGCGGCGGACGGGUGAGUAAUGCCUAGGAAUCUGCCUGGUAGUGGGGGAUAACGUCCGGAAACGGGCGCUAAUACCGCAUACGUCCUGAGGGAGAAAGUGGGGGAUCUUCUGACCUCACGCUAUCAGAUGAGCCUAGGUCGGAUUAGCUAGUUGGUGGGGUAAAGGCCUACCAAGGCGACGAUCCGUAACUGGUCUGAGAGGAUGAUCAGUCACACUGGAACUGAGACACGGUCCAGACUCCUACGGGAGGCAGCAGUGGGGAAUAUUGGACAAUGGGCGAAAGCCUGAUCCAGCCAUGCCGCGUGUGUGAAGAAGGUCUACGGAUUGUAAAGCACUUUAAGUUGGGAGGAAGGGCAGUAAGUUAAUACCUUGCUGUUUUGACGUUACCAACAGAAUAAGCACCGGCUAACUUCGUG